AGGCCUCCUGCGUGGGGCUUGCCCCGCCGUGCAGGCUGGUGCGAGCGCCUUGCGCCUGCAGGGCUUCUUGGGGUUGGAGCGUUUGGCGUUAGGAGCUUGCAGGUUGCUAACGUGUGCGUUUUGGGCUUUGCUGUGUUACCCCCUGAAGGAAGAAUGCCAGCUGCGGGACCAGAAGCGCAGGCCGUGCUACGUCCACGGGCACUGGUGGGAUGUGGCGAUUCUACACUGAGGACUCUCCGGGGCUCAAAGUGAUGGAGGGAGAAAGAGGAAAUGACAACAACCCAAUAGGGCCAAAGGGACUACAUAUCCUGUAGAAGGAACUGGUAUAUACUAAAGGCAAAAGGCUCUGCAAUGACUGUGACUGUGUGCGUGUCUCAGAGAGGUGUUGCAGAUAAUGCUGAGUCUGGUAGCCUUCCAGCCCUCCUCUUCCCACAUUCUUCUACCCUAAGAAGCUUGCCCUUCGUGGAUCUUUCUGGAACAGGCCUGAAGGACCUUUGCCGGUGA
RNAcentral lists this long non-coding RNA (504 nucleotides) under Struthio camelus australis. RNAcentral describes it as "lncRNA (ENSSCUG00000001103.1)". The record is from RNAcentral. Lineage: Eukaryota; Metazoa; Chordata; Aves; Struthioniformes; Struthionidae.